CCACCCCUCCCACGAGAUCGCGGAAUAACUGCUGAACAUCAGCUUUCCAUGGAUUUCUGGUCACGUGUUUACACCGGGGAAGUGAGCUGCGUUCAACCAAGUGUAGCUGGCAGUCCCCAACAGAACAUUCCAGGUCAACCACUUCCAUCGUGCUUUUCGACAGCGCGCCUCAGUAUGUUCGCUGUGCACUUGUACCUGGUCAUGUUCCAUGCUAUUUCUACUGUUUGCCUGUACAGGUUAUGCCAGCAUACUUACUAGUCCUACCGAUACUGUCACUGCAAGUAACUAGGUUAUAAGUCACCCGUGCACGACAACCUAAUAGCAGUCACUGACUCCUCUCUCCACAGUGAAUGGCUACACUGCAUUGCCUAGACGCAUCCCAAAGCCUCUCAUUGUGUAUUAAUAUUAUUUCUAAUGCUCGGGUUUUCUCUUGUGACCCGCGACGCCAGGCAUGAAGUCAUGCUCCUUGCUAUAUACAUGUAUCUCGCGGCCGUAACUUGUUAACAGAGUGUUACUGACACUCAGUGCCAACUGCUGCAAUUGCAGCUCAAAUGCAAACACUGUAUGUGUACGUGUUGCUGCGCAUUGGUCUCUGCCUUGAGAAUUCUUAUCAUUUUGGUGUAUUUUUAAUAACAGGCGUGGGCCAUCCCGUGAUUUCUUAGGUGCCGGUUUUAAACAUUUGCUGUGUACUUUUUAUAAUCACCAAAUGUCCCAUGACUGAGGACACCUAUGAUAUCAAGAACAGUGUACUAAGACACUUGCUUAUCUGA
Molecule: long non-coding RNA, 770 nt
Organism: Sycon ciliatum
Lineage: Eukaryota; Metazoa; Porifera; Calcarea; Leucosolenida; Sycettidae
Exons: 2
Source: RefSeq, a predicted model, not a curated record